GAUUUUAGUCUUGCCCAAGAGGAAUCACCAUCUGUUGAAUCACAACUUUCACUUCCUUUGUUGCCGGAGUUUCUUAAUCUUUCAUCUCACAUUGGUCUAGCUCUGUAGAUGGGACAAUGUCACCAGAGCAGAAAUAAUCACGCUGGAGGUAAGGCUGAGGACUGCAGAGGCCAUGAGGAAAGUUACACUGAUGAAAGUGGAAAGAAUGCCAGAAAAAACCCCAACAUUGGAACAAUUGUGCAAAGACAGAUUUUCUUCUCAGUCAUUGGCUGUGGGAACAGCUUGCUGCCUAAAGAAGUGUUUACAGAGGGGGACAGCAACCCAAGUUUUCUACUUGCUGACUCACAGGAGUGCUAGUCUGUACAAGCCUUGCUGGUCACAAAUUUUCACUGUUGUAGUGAAAAUCACCUUCCAGACAUUUUCCAAGAUUGGAGCCAGAAGACUUUGGACAAACUGA
This 457-nucleotide long non-coding RNA is filed under the name Falco tinnunculus (common kestrel). Its description in RNAcentral is "lncRNA (ENSFTIG00000004363.1)". Lineage: Eukaryota; Metazoa; Chordata; Aves; Falconiformes; Falconidae. The record is from RNAcentral.